GACGAGGGGUGCGAGCGUUAUUCGGAAUGAUUGGGCGUAAAGGGUGCGUAGGCGGUAUAUUAAGUCACUUGUUAAAUUUCUCGGCUUAACCGAGAGUCUGCAAGAGAAACUGGUGUACUAGAGGAUGGAAGAGAGAAGUGGAAUUCUUGAAGUAGCGGUCAAAUGCGUAGAUCUCAAGAGGAACACCGAUGGCGAAGGCAGCUUCUUGGUCCAUUUCUGACGCUGAGGCACGAAAGCGUGGGGAGCAAAC
This 250-nucleotide ribosomal RNA is filed under the name uncultured bacterium. Its description in RNAcentral is "partial 16S ribosomal RNA". It matches the Rfam family "Bacterial small subunit ribosomal RNA", at positions 524 to 773 of the family's 1533-position model. The record is from RNAcentral.